Molecule: transfer RNA, 71 nt
Filed under: Chromochloris zofingiensis
Lineage: Eukaryota; Viridiplantae; Chlorophyta; Chlorophyceae; Sphaeropleales; Chromochloridaceae
Description: tRNA-Phe
Rfam family: tRNA
About the family: Transfer RNA (tRNA) molecules are approximately 80 nucleotides in length. Their secondary structure includes four short double-helical elements and three loops (D, anti-codon, and T loops).
Source: RNAcentral
GCAGGGAUAGCUCAGUGGUAGAGCAGAGGAUUGAAAAUCCUUGUGUCGUUCGUUCAAUUCGAACUCUCAGC